GUAGGUGGCAAGCGUUGUCCGGAAUUAUUGGGCGUAAAGCGCGCGCAGGCGGUCCUUUAAGUCUGAUGUGAAAGCCCACGGCUCAACCGUGGAGGGUCAUUGGAAACUGGGGGACUUGAGUACGGAAGAGGAAAGCGGAAUUCCAAGUGUAGCGGUGAAAUGCGUAGAGAUUUGGAGGAACACCAGUGGCGAAGGCGGCUUUCUGGUCUGUAACUGACGCUGAGGCGCGAAAGCGUGGGGAGCAAACAGGAUUAGAUACCCUGGUAGUCCACGCCGUAAACGAUGAGUGCUAAGUGUUAGGGGGUUUUCCCGCCCCCCUUAGUGCUGCAGCUAACGCAUUAAGCACUCCGCCUGGGGGAGUACGGCCGCAAGGCUG
RNAcentral lists this ribosomal RNA (376 nucleotides) under uncultured organism. Its description in RNAcentral is "partial 16S ribosomal RNA". It matches the Rfam family "Bacterial small subunit ribosomal RNA", at positions 527 to 896 of the family's 1533-position model. The record is from RNAcentral.